This 513-nucleotide ribosomal RNA is filed under the name uncultured bacterium. Its description in RNAcentral is "partial 16S ribosomal RNA". It matches the Rfam family "Bacterial small subunit ribosomal RNA", at positions 28 to 507 of the family's 1533-position model. The record is from RNAcentral.
GACGAACGCUGGCGGCGUGCUUAACACAUGCAAGUCGAACGAGAGCGUAGAGAAAGCUUGCUUUUUCUACAAUCUAGUGGCAAACGGGUGAGUAACGCGUAAACAACCUGCCCUACGGAUGGGGACACCAGCUGGAAACGGCUGCUAAUACCGAAUACGUUCCGAAAGUCGCAUGACUAUCGGAAGAAAGGAUGGCCUCUAUUUAUAAGCUAUCGCCGGAGGAGGGGUUUGCGUCUGAUUAGCUAGUUGGAGGGGUAACGGCCCACCAAGGCGACGAUCAGUAGCCGGUCUGAGAGGAUGAACGGCCACAUUGGAACUGAGACACGGUCCAGACUCCUACGGGAGGCAGCAGUGGGGAAUCUUCCGCAAUGGGCGAAAGCCUGACGGAGCAACGCCGCGUGAGUGAAGACGGCCUUCGGGUUGUAAAGCUCUGUUAUACGGGACGAAUAAUCUUGUGGUUAAUACCCAUGAGAAGUGACGGUACCGUAAGAGAAAGCCACGGCUAACUACGUG